AGUGAACGCUGGCGGUAGGCCUAACACAUGCAAGUCGAACGGCAGCACAGUAAGAGCUUGCUCUUACGGGUGGCGAGUGGCGGACGGGGGAGGAAUACAUCGGAAUCUACUUUUUCGUGGGGGAUAACGUAGGGAAACUUACGCUAAUACCGCAUACGACCUACGGGUGAAAGCAGGGGAUCUUCGGACCUUGCGCGAUUGAAUGAGCCGAUGUCGGAUUAGCUAGUUGGCGGGGUAAAGGCCCACCAAGGCGACGAUCCGUAGCUGGUCUGAGAGGAUGAUCAGCCACACUGGAACUGAGACACGGUCCAGACUCCUACGGGAGGCAGCAGUGGGGAAUAUUGGACAAUGGGCGCAAGCCUGAUCCAGCCAUACCGCGUGGGUGAAGAAGGCCUUCGGGUUGUAAAGCCCUUUUGUUGGGAAAGAAAAGCAGCACGUUAAUACCCCGCUGUUCUGACGGUACCCAAAGAAUAAGCACCGGCUAACUUCGUG
Molecule: ribosomal RNA, 492 nt
Filed under: uncultured bacterium
Lineage: Bacteria
Description: partial 16S ribosomal RNA
Rfam family: Bacterial small subunit ribosomal RNA
Source: RNAcentral